Molecule: small nuclear RNA, 103 nt
Organism: Peromyscus leucopus (white-footed mouse)
Lineage: Eukaryota; Metazoa; Chordata; Mammalia; Rodentia; Cricetidae
Source: RefSeq, a predicted model, not a curated record
UGCUCGCUUCAGCAGCACAUUACUAAAAUCGGAACAAAACAAAGAGGAUUGCCAUGGCCCCUGUGCCAGAAACGUGCAAAUUCAUGAACCACUCCACAUUUUU